UACGUAGGGCGCAAGCGUUGUCCGGAUUUAUUGGGCGUAAAGAGCUCGUAGGCGGUCUGUCGCGUCGGCUGUGAAAACCCGGGGCUCAACCUCGGGCCUGCAGUCGAUACGGGCAGACUAGAGUGUGGCAGGGGAGACUGGAGUUCCUGGUGUAGCGGUGAAAUGCGCAGAUAUCAGGAGGAACACCGGUGGCGAAGGCGGGUCUCUGGGCCAUAACUGACGCUGAGGAGCGAAAGCGUGGGGAGCGAACAGG
This 253-nucleotide ribosomal RNA is filed under the name uncultured bacterium. Its description in RNAcentral is "partial 16S ribosomal RNA". It matches the Rfam family "Bacterial small subunit ribosomal RNA", at positions 524 to 776 of the family's 1533-position model. The record is from RNAcentral.